Molecule: long non-coding RNA, 1065 nt
Organism: Cherax quadricarinatus
Lineage: Eukaryota; Metazoa; Arthropoda; Malacostraca; Decapoda; Parastacidae
Source: RefSeq, a predicted model, not a curated record
CUUCAGUCGUCGUACGGAAGGGAUAUGUUGCUCCUUCUCCUGCCGCCCCACCGGCUUUAUCGCUUCCUCAUCCUUUUAAUACACCUAAAUAACGUGGUAACUGAGGAUUGCUGUGCCUGGCUGUGUCUGCUGUAACGUUGUUGUGUCUGCUGCAACGUUGGUCAACACAGCAACACUGACCAGUCUGAGGAGUGGAGACAACCACACUAGUAAAUGGUCUGACCCAUAAUAUUUAGUGUUAUGUGGAAAUGUAGCAGUUGGAGACGUCGUUAGAGAUGGGCGGGGCCCACUUGUAAGAAUCCUCCUGACAAGACAGGCUGUUGUGAUCACCAGUGUUUAACACACAAGGAGACAAGAAUGUUGUGCAUCAGGAAGUGUUUGCAGUGUUGUACUUGAUUGUCCUGUGUCACAACACUUAGGAUAGCUUCCUGACAGUACAAAUACAAGGUUGGAGAUAUUCGCCGUGUGGUGGGCAGCUGCUGUGUGGUGACGGCCGUGUGGUGGGCAGCUGCUGUGUGGUGACGGCCGUGUGGUGGGCAGCUGCUGUGUGGUGACGGCCGUGUGGUGGGCAGCUGCAGGUCUUCAGAGAUAUCACCAGCAGCAACACUCCAAAACAAUGUCUGCAAAGAUAAAAGUUGAUGGAACUGGAAGAGCUGGAGGUGUUGAUGGUGUGGUGGAGGGUAGAGGAGUGACUAGUGGCGCCACUAUUCUUGACCUCCAUGACUAAUUGGCGCCAUUGACCUGGAAAGGAGGGUGAUGACGUCAUUGGUUGUUGUGUGGAGGGGGAAGGUCGUUAAGGGAAGGAUAGGGGUUGCCUGCUGGUGGAGAGAUUUGGGGCCUGAGAGAGCCAGCCGCUGACUGGCUCAAUGCUGUGUAUGCUGUAGUGUGAACCUGUGACUCGACGGACAAUCCCUCAGCAGUCGGAUGAUAAAACUAAUAACCUGCAGAUGUUUACCACCCAGUAGAGUUAUAUAAUCACCUCCAAGCAAUUCUUUAACAAGAACUAUAAGGUAGGAUAAAAUUCUUAUUUAACACUACUAUAAAUGAGAAAAUUGUGUAGUGCAA